AAUAGGUGAUAAACGACCAAGACCGAGAGUCACCGUCCCCAACUCGCCUGGCUGCCUGGAAGACGCCGGAGAAUCUCAUCCCAAGAGUUAGGAAUUAAAGUUCCCUUGAUGAAACAGCAGAUUUUGUGACAUACAGAUGUAUAUCCACAGACAAAUUCGAUCCUUCUCUCUGGAUUACAACCUAGGGUAAACUAUUCGUUUCUUAUUUGGAAUCUGAUUUUUCCCUGGCACUUUCCAAGACUUGGGAGAUAAUUUAAAGAUAACUAAAUCUUAUCCUGAAAAUGUGAGUAGAGACUUUUUUAGAAUGUAUAUAAUUUGAUAUAAAAUAAGUAUAAAAAUAUAUAUUACUAUUGAAUAUCCUCUGUUAAACUAAAAUAAGAAGUCUAAUUCUAAUUCAGGUAUCAAAGCUAAUAAAAAGAAUAUAUAUAAUUAUAAUAAGAAUAAA
RNAcentral lists this long non-coding RNA (445 nucleotides) under Oryctolagus cuniculus (rabbit). Its description in RNAcentral is "lncRNA (ENSOCUG00000031773.1)". The record is from RNAcentral. Lineage: Eukaryota; Metazoa; Chordata; Mammalia; Lagomorpha; Leporidae.